AUCAGCAUCAGCAUAGAGGUGGAGUUCAGUCUGUAUUUGCCACAGUUUCACCUUGGAUUCUUGAAUGCUAGGGCUAUCUCCUGGAAUUUACUUGGAACGCCUAAAUCAAGUGUGUAUCUGGGCAUAUAGGGAGUUUCUUAUGUUUCCCCACUGAACAGCCACAGUCAUCCCUACCUGUUAAAGGGAUAGAUUGAAUUUCCAGAUAGGAAUGUGGGAAGCUGCCUUGAAUCAGCUCACUAGCCCAUCUAACCCAGUCUUGCCAAGUGGCUUCAAACAGGACUGUCUCCGAGUUCUAUCUGGGUAUUCUAGCACUGCUUGGUAGCUCUUAUUCCAAGUACUAACCAGGUGAGACCCUGCUUAGCUUCCAAACCAAACCUUCAGGGUGGUACAGUGGUUCAAAAUGGUGGGCUCGUGUAAGAUUUAGUUGGAACUUCUCAUACCCAAAGCAAGAAUCAAUGGGUAGUCAUGAAUGGGCUAUCAACACUAGAAUCUUGGCAACCUUUUCCUUAUAAUGUCCUUAUUGGCCAAAUCUUAAAUUUGCACCCUUGACCUGAGGCAGGCUCCUCUCAGUAAUGGAUAUACAUCCAUCCUGUGACUUCAUUUCUGCUGCUACUGCUGCCUAACAACGCUCCAAUAGCCCAGCCCCCCUUUUUUUCUGCUGAUGUCAUAAUCUACAAAUUUGCAGGCCAGUGCUCAUCCUUUCAGAUGGAGAGGUGGGGGGCCACUUGCAUAGAGGCCUCCCAGGGGAAAGCAUCUGGGAACUUCAAAGGACUGGGGGGCCCCAGCCCUGUCCAGGAUUAUAAACUGGUGUUUGGUGGCCGUAGAAGCGCAUCUGCUCUUGUACCAGGAUAAUCAACAAGACCUUAAACUUUGUCCUUGAGCUCCACUCUGUCCUAGUGAUGAUCACAUCUCCAGAGAAUGCACAGAGGAAGGACCCACAGAAUGACCCUGUCAAAGAACAGGCCUCUGGUCGCGAUGCUCCAUUGCCUGGCAAACUGUGGAGGGCGCUUCAAAGGGCUGAAGACAAUAUGUUAAGCAUAGCACUAAUCUUCGAAGACGAGUUUGAGCAGGUGACCUGCAUCUGGCAGCAAGUGGCUCUAUAGCAGGGAAGAGGUGGCUGUAGUGUUCCCUGUCUGAACCCAUACCCCCCAAACAACUCGUGCAACGUUCUGGCCAGAUUAAAUCGUGGAGAUGGGCAAGUCAUGUUGGACGUGUCCCGGGUGCCUGCUCCUUGAGGCUGCUGAAGAUAGCCCAGUACAGGCCAUUGCUUUUGCUUGUGAUAGCCAGUGAAUCUUAGUGUAGGGAAGCGAGAGACCCAGACUAUUGCACUGAGAAUGUACUGUAUGCAAUGUAGCAGAGUGUACCCCCUUCAGCAGGUCUCGGGUUCAGGACCCAGCAUCUCCAGUCAAAAGGAUCAGCUGGCUGGAAGGGGCUGAACUAGCAAGUGGCUACCAGCCCUAGGAAAUAGUAGUGGCUUAAUGAACCAACGGCAUACCAGCCAGUAGAAGACAGCUUCCUGUAUUCAUAUGUCAAAUCCAGUGUUAGAAGCAGGUAGUUAGUAUGAGUACCUUACUUUUGGGAGAACAAGUAUUGUAAUAAAUUGUUACAAAGUUAUAGUAAAAGUAGUCUA
RNAcentral lists this long non-coding RNA (1630 nucleotides) under Pogona vitticeps (central bearded dragon). RNAcentral describes it as "lncRNA (ENSPVIG00000022841.1)". The record is from RNAcentral. Lineage: Eukaryota; Metazoa; Chordata; Lepidosauria; Squamata; Agamidae.